GAGGGUGUAGCUCAGUGGUAGAAUGUGUGCUUAGCAUACAUGAGGUCCUGGGUUCAACCCCCGGUACCUCCA
This 72-nucleotide transfer RNA is filed under the name Camelus bactrianus (Bactrian camel). It matches the Rfam family "tRNA". From Rfam's summary of the family: Transfer RNA (tRNA) molecules are approximately 80 nucleotides in length. Their secondary structure includes four short double-helical elements and three loops (D, anti-codon, and T loops). RNAcentral also lists the same sequence under 2 other names. Lineage: Eukaryota; Metazoa; Chordata; Mammalia; Artiodactyla; Camelidae. The record is from Rfam by way of RNAcentral.